UACGAAGGGGGCUAGCGUUGUUCGGAAUUAUUGGGCGUAAAGGGCGCGUAGGCGGCUUGGCAAGUGGAUGGUGAAAUCCCUCGGCUUAACCGAGGAACUGCCGUCCAAACUGCUUCGCUUGAGACCGGGAGAGGUGAGUGGAAUUCCCAGUGUAGCGGUGAAAUGCGUAGAUAUUGGGAGGAACACCAGUGGCGAAGGCGGCUCACUGGACCGGUACUGACGCUGAUGCGCGAAAGCGUGGGGAGCAAACAGG
RNAcentral lists this ribosomal RNA (253 nucleotides) under uncultured bacterium. RNAcentral describes it as "partial 16S ribosomal RNA". It matches the Rfam family "Bacterial small subunit ribosomal RNA", at positions 524 to 776 of the family's 1533-position model. The record is from RNAcentral.